CGCGUGGGAAUCUACCUAGUAGUGGGGGAUAGCCAGGAGAAAUUCUGAAUAAUACCGCAUACGCCCUACGGGGGAAAGAGGCCCUCUUCUUGAAAGGUCUCACUAUUAGAUGAGCCCGCGUUAGAUUAGCUAGAUGGUGAGGUAAGAGCUCACCAUGGCAACGAUCUAUAGCUGGUCUGAGAGGAUGAUCAGCCACAUUGGGACUGAGACACGGCCCAGACUCCUACGGGAGGCAGCAGUGGGGAAUAUUGGACAAUGGGCGCAAGCCUGAUCCAGCAAUACCGCGUGUGUGAAGAAGGC
RNAcentral lists this ribosomal RNA (300 nucleotides) under uncultured Marinicella sp. RNAcentral describes it as "bacterial SSU rRNA". It matches the Rfam family "Bacterial small subunit ribosomal RNA", at positions 114 to 415 of the family's 1533-position model. Lineage: Bacteria; Pseudomonadati; Pseudomonadota; Gammaproteobacteria; Lysobacterales; Marinicellaceae. The record is from RNAcentral.